GAUCCUGGCCAGGACGAACGCUGGCGGCGUGCUUAACACAUGCAAGUCGAACGAGAAUCUGCGGAAAGAGGAUUCGUCCAAUUGAAGCAGAGGACAGUGGCGGACGGGUGAGUAACGCGUGAGGAACCUGCCUUUCAGAGGGGGACAACAGUUGGGAACGACUGCUAAUACCGCAUGACAUAUAGAUGUCGCAUGGCAUUUAUAUCAAAGAUUUAUCG
This 218-nucleotide ribosomal RNA is filed under the name uncultured bacterium. RNAcentral describes it as "partial 16S ribosomal RNA". It matches the Rfam family "Bacterial small subunit ribosomal RNA", at positions 15 to 217 of the family's 1533-position model. The record is from RNAcentral.